CUUAGAUCAGAGGGGAAUUUAAAAAAAGGUUAACGAUAACCCCUCGAACAACAAGAACUACAAUUAUUACAAGGUGACAUUCAGAGACAAACAUUUUAAAUACUGUUUUUGAAUAUCCUUACCAGCAAAAAAACACUCCACCAGCAACUGCUAAAAACAAUAGGUAUUGUUUCUGUUCUAGGGAAAUAAUAAUGUGGAAGAAAGCAUUAAGGCAUUAAAACAUUGUUAUAAUAAAAUAGUGUGUGAGGAUGGGGUAACACUAUUUGAAUGGGUGUGCUUAAGAGUGACAUGACAUUGUCAUGAUACUGUCAUAGCCAUGACAUCACACAUGAAGGAAUCAUUUUGAACGUUUAUGAACGUUGUCAUUAGGUGACGGAGCGGGCGCCGCGGGACAAGGCACCAGGGCAGGAGAGUCCUUGGCGGGCUCGGGCAGCGGCGACCAGUCCACGGCGGGCCCUGGCGGCGGAGAAAACAGGGCAGCGAGGAGAACUGGCAGCUGCGGCCCCUGGGCAGCACGGGGCGCAGGGAACACCCGGCGUCUUGGGGCUGGCACCGGACGUAGGCCAGGCGUUGGCCGCACCAAGCUGGCCGGGGACUCUUCCUCUGGCGGUGAGAACCGGUAUGGUGGGUCCCUGAAGCCCCACCAGUCCUCACUCCACCCAACCUCCGGGAAGGCCCCCACCGGCCCUACCAGCGUCGUUUCCCAACGCCGGGCAGGGCUGGGGCACCUGGAUCACCCUGCAUAUGAGCGUAGGUGGCAAGGGCUCGUCCUCCCACCCCUCCGGGGAUGGCAGCCGCGCCUCAGGGUCCUCCGACCGCGCCCACAGCACCCCCCAAAAAAAUUAUUGGGGCUGACUCACAGAGGGUUGAUUGAGUCGCCUCUGUUGACGUCUCCUCCGGGGUCGACGCUGGGUUGGCCCGGGGUGCAGCAGGGGACGGUAGGGGUUCUCCUCCUCCUCUGUCUCGCCAUCAGGCCAACAAAGGAGUUCCCCUACCGUCCACCUCUGCCGUGUCUUUUGUAGGUGGUUCAUUCUGUCACGGUCAUGGUAGCGGUAGGACACAGGCGCAGAGACUGAAUAGUGGAAGUCAUCCAUGUUUAAUCAAAAGAAAGACUCAAACAAAACCAAACGCCGCAAUCAGUGACAUCGGUUAUCCAGAAGGAACAACAAAACCACUGGUUUUGGCAAAACAGGGAACAUAAAUAGGGUCCCCAAUCGGAGGCAACAACCAUCACCUGCCUCCAAUUGAGGAGACUAAAAGGAUUGGAGGUGGCUAGAGGUGCCACCUCCUGUCCUGUCCUGACUAUGCCCCCAGCCCAGCGCAGAGAUGGCUAGGGGCAUAGCCGGGACGUGACACAUUCAGUCGAUUAUGUCAUUUUUAUGCAAGGUUGACAUUGUUUGGGAUGUCUUUGUUAUGACAACAUGACAGUAACCAAGACAACAUAACCUGUUAUAAACAUGUGCCUAAUUAACAAACUUGAAGAAACUAUUUAGCCAGUAUUCUGUGUGCCAUAAAAGGAACUUUGCUGAUCAUGAGACUGGUGCUAAUACUCAGCAUAUUGAGCAUGCAUGGCAGAAAUACAAGUAGGAAGUAUGGAGUCAUAAAGGUAAUCACACUCCUGAGUCACUGAUGAUUCACCUCAAACCCCCACUGGUUAGCCAUACGCCAUUAUAAUGGUGUCUUGGGCAGACUUUUCCAUGAUGUGAAAAAACAAGUAAAGUUUUUAUCAAAGUUUUUUGCAGGAACAUAGUUUGUACUGUAAUUUUGUUAAUGUUGAUGCAGGACAUCCAUUCAUGUAACUAGUGGUUUGCAUGAACAAUGUGCUAAUUAAUAAACAUUAUUCAAGAGAUAAUAUACAUAAUCCAAUUUGUUAAUAUGAUUACAGUGCGGUAAUCAUUAUUAAAAGGUAGACUGGCUACUUGCAUCUUCUAAUAGGUGUGACACACAAAAUAUACACUCACCUAAAGGAUUAUUAGGAACACCUGUUCAAUUUCUCAUUAAUGCAAUUAUAUAAUCAACCAAUCACAUGGCAGUUGCUUCAAUGCAUUUAGGGGUGUGGUCCUGGUCAAGACAAUCUCCUGAACUCCAAACUGAAUGUCAGAAUGGGAAAGAAAGGUGAUUUAAGCAAUUUUGAGCAUGGCAUGGUUGUUGAUGCCAGACAGGCCGGUCUGAGUAUUUCACAAUCUGCUCAGUUACUGGGAUUUUCACACACAACCAUUUCUAGGGUUUCAAAAGAAUGGUGUGAAAAGGGAAAAACAUCCAGUAUGCGGCAGUCCUGUGGGAGAAAAUUCCUUGUUGAUGCUAGAGGUCAGAGGAGAAUGGGCCGACUGAUUCAAGCUGAUAGAAGAGCGACUUUGGCGGAUGGGCUACAACAGCAGAAGACUCCACCGGGUACCACUCAUCGCCACUACAAAUAGGAAAAAGAGGCUACAAUUUGCACAAGCUCACCAAAAUUGGACAGUUGAAGACUGGAAGAAUGUUGCCUAGUCUGAUGAGUCUGGAUUUCUGUUGAGACAUUCAGAUGGUAGAGUCAGAAUUUGGUGUAAACAGAAUGAGAACAUGGAUCCAUCAUGCCUUGUUAUCCCUGUGGAGGCUGGUGGUGGUGGUGUAAUGGUGUGGGGGAUGUUUUCUUGGCACACUUUAGGCCCCUUAGUGCCAAUUGGGCAUCGUUUAAAUGCCUCGGCCUACCUGAGCAUUGUUUCUGACCAUGUCCAUCCCUUUAUGACCACUGUGUACCCAUCCUCUGAUGGCUACUUCCAGCAGGAUAAUGCACCAUGUCACAAAGCUUGAAUAAUUUCAAAUUGGUUUCUUGAACAUGACAAUGAGUUCACUCUACUGAAAUGGUCCCCACAGACACCAGAUCUCAACCCAAUAGAGCAUCUUUGGGAUGUGGUGGAACGGGAGCUUCGUGCCCUGGAUGUGCAUCCCACAAAUCUCCAUCAACUGCAAGAUGCUAUCCUAUCAAUAUGGGCCAACAUUUCUAAAGAAUGCUUUCAGCACCUUGUUGAAUCAAUGCCAUGUAGAAUUAAGGCAGUUCUGAAGGCGAAAGGGGGUCAAACCCAGUAUUAGUAUGGUGUUCCUAAUAAUCCUUUAGGUGAGUGUAUGCUCUGAAUUGGACAAUACUACAUGUGGAUUAUGAUAUUGUUUUACUACAAUUUGAUGAACUCCCGAAACAAACGAAGAUCAAGAUUUCUUUGGACAUCGGACUGAAAAUGUUAUAAACGCAGAGUCACCUACAUAGUUAUGGGGAACGUAAUGACUGUUUUGUAUUAAACAAUGACAUCAUGUGGAUAAUGUUUCUCUUGGCAGUAACAUUUAGCUAGACUAGCUAAACCUCCACCUUUUAUAAUUCCGUUACUGAUGUAUCUUGUGUGUCUUUGUGUAUCCACAUUCUUCUUAGCUAGCCUGUGCCGUUUUUUUAAACCUCUUUUCUAAACAUUGCUUUCAGGUCAUGACAUUUUUCUGCAGUUUUGUUCCCAGAGGAGGAUGACUUUGUGGCAGUAGUUCCACGCCUGUGGCUCAAAGGGGGAGUUUGCUACUGGCCACCACACAGCAUCACCUGCAGGAAGUCCUUCAGCCAUGACAAGUUUGUCAGAACUUGUUCACCACCUGAAGACACCUGGGAGGCUGUCCCUUAUAAGCUCAUGAAGCAUGCAGACAUGUGAGAGACUGCACGUGUGUAUCGCCAGAGGAGCGAAAAUCGUUCCAGCGUGGGCCCCUACCACCCCAAGGACACAUCUACACCACAACACCCUGUGGAUUGCAGCCCUGGAGGAUGGAGGAAGCACAGUACUCCAAGGCACCAGAGAGGUACUCCACGCCACCAUGUGGAGGACUGCUACAUAAGGCAAGAAGGCAGAGGUAGGGGGAAGUUUAAGCUCUGCACAUGAAGAACAUUUGGAGAAGAUCAAGUGGCUGAAAGAAGAGAAGGUCGAACUGAGGGCACAGCUGGCUCUACAAUCAGGUAAAAACAAGACUAUAGUUACGCUAGCAUCUUGUCUUCAUGAAACUGCAUUUGUCUGAACGUGUGCCCUUUACUAAAAUGCAAUACUGUACAGCCUUUCAAAAAUGUAUAUGGCAGUUUUGUUUAUUUCACUAUUAAGCUAUUGACAUUUCAAUGUGCAUUUUAGCUUCUGAUAAAUGUCUGACUGAAGAGAAUGUCAAGCCGAGGGCACAGCUGGCUCUACAAUCAGGUAAAAACAAGACUAUAGUUGCGAUAGCAUGUUGUCUUCAUGAAACAUUUCAUUUAUCUUGAAUGUCAUGCAAAUCUCAAUCAUGUCAGAUCAUUGAAACACAAUAUCUGAUUACAGUAUUACAGGAGCCAUAAGGAAGAAUCCUUCCAACCAGGAUGCCACUGACGAGGCUGUUCAGAACCAGCUGACCUUGCAGGUGGGAAAAGACGUUGCAGCGAUACAAGGGACCUGCCAUGAAUAUGAAUGACAUCUCCAGCACAACCAAUAUUGCAGCUAAUUUACAGUAGUCUUUUUUUUUUAAUAUAUCAUUUUAACUGCUGCUAUGUAUAUGAUCGCAUUAUCCUCUUAAUAUAUUUAAAGCUGUGUGUGAAUGUUCUUAAUUCUGACUGUAGUUGUAGUAUGCUAUGCCACCAUUCAUAAGCUUAUUGCACUGAUGUAUUGAUAAUAUUCAACAACUAUCGAUUGCUGCUAUGUCAUACUUAUGUAUAUUACUGCCAUUCUAGCCCUUGUUUAUUUUGUAUUGUAUUAUGUUUCUUUUGUACUUUUUUACAUUAAAAUACUCUAAUUGUACUAUAUCUGAUGCUGGACACGUUUUCUUGCACUAUUUGAUUUCUGCAUCUUUAUGCAUACUUUUUUUUUGUAUGCAUCUUGCACUAUUUGAAAUAAAUUCUGACCCUAACAUUCACCUAUCUAUUAAUUAUUUUUUUCUUUAUUCUUGUAAUAAAAAUGUAUCAUAUCCACCUACCUCAUGUACAUUACACCUGCACAAAAAUUACUUCUUUAUUCAUUCCAGCUUCGUUUGCACUCUGCUCCAUUAAGAUUACAUCCACCAUCAUUAUGUAAAUAAUAAUACCUGUACAAACAGCACCCUUUAUACCCUGCUCAUUGCACUAUUGUCUCAUCAGUCUUACUAUGUUAUUGUUGGGGUUUAUUGUGUGUAUUGAUGUGUACUGUAUAUUGCAGUCGGUUUAAGUUUUUU
This is a long non-coding RNA of Esox lucius (northern pike), 5172 nucleotides long. NCBI's taxonomy places the organism in Eukaryota, Metazoa, Chordata, Actinopteri, Esociformes, Esocidae. The record is from Ensembl.